AUGGCGGCCAAGACUAAGGCACCAGCUGGUACUCCGGUCGGCCCCGUCCCUUUCGCGGACGUCGAGACCGACCCAGGCUUGGUCUCUCCGGUGCCGGAGCAGCUCCCGGAAGAGCACGCCGCCCUGCCGAGCGCGUCCGCGUUUAACGGCCCGACGAACAUCCGUUGCUACCAGGGCUUCUGGCUGUCGGAUUACUUGUCCGCCGCGGCCGUCGCCCUGCAGCGCCGCUUCGAGCCCUGCCGCGACGACAUCAUCGUCGCAAGCUUUCCCAAGUCCGGCACCACGUGGCUCAACGCCCUGGCGUUCGCCACCAUGGCACGGCGCGCUUACCCGGCCGCCGACGCCGGGCACCCGCUGCUACGCCUCAACCCGCACCAGUGCAUCCCUUUCCUGGAGAACCUCUUCCGGAGCCGCGCGGAGGCCGCCAAGCUCGAGGCCCUGCCGUCCCCGCGCCUCAUGAACACGCACAUGCCGCUCGGCAUGAUAAUGCCGGGCGCCGGCGGGUGCAAGGUCGUCUACGUCUGCAGGGAACCCAAGGACAUGGUCGUCUCGUUGUGGCACUUCCUCCGGCAUCUGCGGCCAGACCUGGCGCUGGCCGACGUCCUCGACUCCGUGUGCAGCGGCGCGGUGCCGUAUGGACCCGUCUGGGACCACAUCCUCGGCUACUGGCGCGCCAGCAUCGCGAGGCCGGACGCCGUGCUGUUCUUGCGGUACGAGGAGCUGCUGCGCGACCCCGCCGGGAACGUCAGAGAGCUGGCGCGGUUCGUCGGGCUGCCCUUCUCGGACGCCGAGGAGGAGGCCGGCGUCGUCCAGGACAUCGUCAAGCUCUGCAGCUUCGGGCACCUCAAGCCCCUGGAAGCCAACUCGACAGGCCAGUUGGAUCCCCUCGUCCCGGUGCCGCGCGAGGCGCUGUUCAGGAAGGGCGUGGCCGGCGACUGGGCGAACCACAUGACGCCGGAGAUGGCGCGACGCCUCGACGAAAUCGUCGCCGACAAGUUCCAUGCGACCGGCCUCACUUUUCGAUGA
This 1026-nucleotide ribosomal RNA is filed under the name Triticum aestivum (bread wheat). Its description in RNAcentral is "partial small subunit ribosomal RNA". The record is from RNAcentral. Lineage: Eukaryota; Viridiplantae; Streptophyta; Magnoliopsida; Poales; Poaceae.